RNAcentral lists this ribosomal RNA (684 nucleotides) under uncultured bacterium. RNAcentral's name for it is "bacterial SSU rRNA". It matches the Rfam family "Bacterial small subunit ribosomal RNA", at positions 96 to 776 of the family's 1533-position model. The record is from RNAcentral.
UGGCGGACGGGUGAGUAAUGCAUGGGGAGCUGCCCAAUCGAGGGGGAUACCAGCUGGAAACGGCUGCUAAUACCGCAUACGCCCUGAGGGGGAAAGGUGGGGACCUUCGGGCCUACCGCGAUUGGAUGCACCCAUGUGGGAUUAGCUAGUUGGUGAGGUAACAGCUCACCAAGGCGACGAUCUCUAGCUGGUCUGAGAGGAUGACCAGCCACACUGGAACUGAGACACGGUCCAGACUCCUACGGGAGGCAGCAGUGGGGAAUAUUGCACAAUGGGGGAAACCCUGAUGCAGCCAUGCCGCGUGUGUGAAGAAGGCCUUCGGGUUGUAAAGCACUUUCAGUAGGGAGGAAGGGUUGAUGUCUAAUACGCAUCAACAUUGACGUUACCUACAGAAGAAGCACCGGCUAACUCCGUGCCAGCAGCCGCGGUAAUACGGAGGGUGCAAGCGUUAAUCGGAAUAACUGGGCGUAAAGCGCACGCAGGCGGUUAGAUAAGUCAGAUGUGAAAUCCCCGGGCUCAACCUGGGAACUGCAUUUGAAACUGUCUGACUAGAGUCUUGUAGAGGGGGGUAGAAUUCCAGGUGUAGCGGUGAAAUGCGUAGAGAUCUGGAGGAAUACCGGUGGCGAAGGCGGCCCCCUGGACAAAGACUGACGCUCAGGUGCGAAAGCGUGGGGAGCAAACAGG